AUACGACCGUACCGCAAACCGACACUGGUGCGCGAGAUGAGUAUUCUAAGGCGCUUGAGAGAACUCAGGAGAAGGAACUCGGCAAAUUGACACCGUAACUUCGGAAGAAGGUGUGCCCUAUUAGUGUGUAGUGAACAACGAAGCAUGAAUGGGUUGCAAAAAAUCGGUGGCUGCGACUGUUUAUUAAAAACACAGCACUCUGCAAACACGAAAGUGGACGUAUAGGGUGUGACGCCUGCCCGGUGCUGGAAGAUUAAAUGAUGGGGUGCAAGCUCUUGAUUGAAGUCCCAGUAAACGGCGGCCGUAACAAUAACGGUCCUAAGGUAGCGAAAUUCCUUGUCGGGUAAGUUCCGACCUGCACGAAUGGCGUAACGAUGGCCACACUGUCUCCUCCUGAGACUCAGCGAAGUUGAAAUGUUUGUGAUGAUGCAAUCUCCCCGCGGAAAGACGGAAAGACCCCAUGAACCUUUACUGUAGCUUUGUAUUGGACUUUGAACAGAUCUGUGUAGGAUAGGUGGGAGGCUUUGAAGCAGGGUCGCUAGAUCUUGUGGAGCCAACGUUAAAAUACCACCCUGGUGUGUUUGAGGUUCUAACCUAGGUCCAUUAUCUGGAUCGGGGACAGUGCAUGGUAGGCAGUUUGACUGGGGCGGUCUCCUCCCAAAGCGUAACGGAGGAGUUCGAAGGUACGCUAGUUACGGUCGGACAUCGUGACGAUAGUGCAAUGGCAUAAGCGUGCUUAACUGCGAGACUGACAAGUCAGCAGAUGCGAAAGCAGGACAUAGUGAUCCGGUGGUUCUGUAUGGAAGGGCCAUCGCUCAACGGAUAAAAGGUACUCUGGGGAUAACAGGCUGAUACCGCCCAAGAGUUCAUAUCGACGGCGGUGUUUGGCACCUCGAUGUCGGCUCAUCUCAUCCUGGGGCUGUAGCCGGUCCCAAGGGUAUGGCUGUUCGCCAUUUAAAGAGGUACGUGAGCUGGGUUUAAAACGUCGUGAGACAGUUUGGUCCCUAUCUUCCGUGGGCGCUGCAGAUUUGAGGAAGCCUGCUCCUGGUACGAGAGGACCGGAGUGGACACACCUCUGGUGUAUCGGUUGUCACGCCAGUGGCAUUGCCGAGUAGCUAAGUGUGGAAGAGAUAACCGCUGAAAGCAUCUAAGCGGGAAACUCGUUUCAAGAUGAGAUCUGCCGGGGCCUUGAGCCCCCUAAAGAGUCGUUCAAGACCAGGACGUUGAUAGGUCAGGUGUGGAAGCG
This 1246-nucleotide ribosomal RNA is filed under the name metagenome. Its description in RNAcentral is "bacterial LSU rRNA". It matches the Rfam family "Bacterial large subunit ribosomal RNA", at positions 1636 to 2875 of the family's 2925-position model. The record is from RNAcentral.